This 234-nucleotide ribosomal RNA is filed under the name uncultured bacterium. RNAcentral's name for it is "partial 16S ribosomal RNA". It matches the Rfam family "Bacterial small subunit ribosomal RNA", at positions 524 to 744 of the family's 1533-position model. The record is from RNAcentral.
UACGAAGGGGGCAAGCGUUGUUCGGAAUUACUGGGCGUAAAGCGUUGCGCAGGCUGGUUUUUUGUAAGCCAGAUGUGAAAAUCCCCGGGGCUCAACCUGGGGAAUGGCAUUUGGGACUGCAAGGCUGGAGUGCGGCAGAGGAGACUGGGAAUUCCUGGUGUAGCAGUGAAAUGCGUAGAAUAUCAGGAGGAAUACCGAUGGCGGAAGGCAGGUCUCUGGGGCUGGACCACUUGA